Long non-coding RNA from Brassica napus (rape), 1821 nucleotides. RefSeq lists it as uncharacterized. The transcript has 2 exons. The record is from RefSeq and is a predicted model, not a curated record. NCBI's taxonomy places the organism in Eukaryota, Viridiplantae, Streptophyta, Magnoliopsida, Brassicales, Brassicaceae.
UGUUGAUCAUAGGUAAACUCUUACAAAAUUGUUAUAAUUUGAUUGGUCGAUGAUUUUUAAUUUUUAUUUAUUUUAAUUAGAUCUAAAAAGAAAAGGUAAGUCUAUAACCAAUUAAUGUCACUUACCAAAUUAAAUACAUAAGAUUACAAAUAAUGAUUUAUGGUAACUAAUUGUUGAAAUUAUAGAAAGAGAAAUUAAUUGAUCAUUUUUAUAUUUAAAAAUACAUAAAAUAAUAAACGACAAACCGUUUAUAUAAAUCAAUAUAAUAAUUUUAUAUUAUUAUUUAAAAGCACUAUAUUUUAUAUAAAUUAUCAUAAUGACUAUUAAUAUCUUCUAAAGUUCAUAUUAUAUGCUUUAUAAAUCAUCUAUAAAAACAUUUAUCAAAUUAUUUAUCUUGGCUUAUUAUAUAUUUUAAAUUGUUAUAUGAGUUUGUAAAUCAUCUAUAAGAGCUUAAAAUCAAAGCUAUAUAUCCUACUAUAUUAAUUGAAAAGUCAUUUAAGAGAUUUUUGGUUAUGUGUCGAUCAUUUCUGAAAUCUAAAAAAAUUGUUAUAAAUUGAUUUACGUAAUAUUACAAAUAAUUAUUUAUGGUAACUAAUUGUUGAAACUAUAAAAAGAGUAAUAAUGUUUGAUCAAUUUUUAUAUAUUUAUAAACUACAAAAAAUAGUAAACAAAAAGGUUUAUUAAAGUCGAUAUAAUGAUUUUAUAUUCUUAUAUAAAACCUUAUAUUUGUAUAGGGGUGUCAAAAUGGGUCGAAAUUAAUGGUUUUAUCCAAACCAACCUAUGGAAUGGAUCCUAAUGGAUCAAAAUUUGGAUGGUAAUGGAUUAAUGGUUUUGAUGGGUUAGUGGAUUUAAUUAGUUUGGAUUAAAAUGGUUUGGGUUUUGAUGGGUCAGUGGAUUAUCCAAUCCAACCCAUUUUUUCACAUUAUGUCAUUCUCUUAUUUUUCGUCUGCGACACAAUCGAUUGACUAUUAACACAUGUUUGGGUCAAUUCGGGCGCUUAAAGAACAGAGUCGAGUACAGCUCAAGACCCGUGCCUCCAAACCUGAUUGCAGCAGAGAAAGAAGAACCUUACAAGGAAAAUGACAAAAGCUAGAUUGAACCUGAAAAGUUUGAUGUUUGAUUUUGCUAACAGGAGGAGAGCUUACCACACUUGAGAUACGAGAUUCUCUCAUUUCUUCCCUCGAACAACUUCAUGAAGAACAUGGUGAUCUUCUCUCUGACCUCGCUGUCAGCUUCCCUGAUCCACCGCCACCACCUGCUGAAGAUAGACCAGUUUCUUCACCUCCACCUCGUGGUCUCACAUAUUCCGCUGCAGAUGUUCGGUACAGUUAAAUCUCCGACGCAGCCACGGGCCACCAUGCUAGGAACCGCCAUUUCUCUGCCUCAUCAUAUCCCUAUACCUCAUUCUCGACACUUCUCCUCUCACUGUCUUUCCCUUGGACUCGUAAGCUCACAAUCCCAUGAUUCAGAAAGCAGAGCUGAGAGUGAUAACGAUGAAGCUGUCUCCGGAGAUGAUCUUGAAGCAGGAGAUAAACCUCUAAGGAAGAAGAAACGUUACUAGCAUCACACUGCUAAACAAAUUCAAGACCUCGAAUCGUAAUACUCUUUCUUCUUAAUAAUCGUAAUACUUUUUCUUCUUAACCACACAAAAGCUCCUCUUUUUGUUCCAUCAUUACACGAUUUGAAUCUUUAUUACACGAUAAAUCACUUUAAUUUCAAACGAUAGAUUUUUCUUUUGGGUCUUUGUGAUUGAUUGAAAUCACUUCAAUUCGGCUAAUUUUACAUUCAUGUUGCAUAAUUAAGUUUCUGAGUUUCAUACCA